RNAcentral lists this ribosomal RNA (468 nucleotides) under uncultured bacterium. RNAcentral's name for it is "partial 16S ribosomal RNA". It matches the Rfam family "Bacterial small subunit ribosomal RNA", at positions 28 to 507 of the family's 1533-position model. The record is from RNAcentral.
GACGAACGCUGGCGGCGUGCUUAACACAUGCAAGUCGAACGGAAAGGCCCUGCUUUUGUGGGGUGCUCGAGUGGCGAACGGGUGAGUAACACUUGAGUAACCUGCCCUUGACUUUGGGAUAACUUCAGGAAACUGGGGCUAAUACCGGAUAGGAGCUCCUGCUGCAUGGUGGGGGUUGGAAAGUUUCGGCGGUUGGGGAUGGACUCGCGGCUUAUCAGCUUGUUGGUGGGGUAGUGGCUUACCAAGGCUUUGCCCGGUAGCAUAGCUGAGAGGCUGACCUGCCAAGUUGGGACUGGACUACGGCACAGCCUCGUACGGGAGGCAGCAGUGGAGAAUAGUGUACAAUGGGCGGAAGCCUGAUGCAGCAACGCCGCGUGCGGGAUGACGGCCAGCGGGUUGUAAACCGAUUUCGCCUGUGCUGAAGAGUGAGUGACGGUAAUGGGUGAAGAAGCACCGGCUAACUACGUG